GCGGCUAUCGUAUAAUGGUUAUUAUGGAACCUUGCCAAGGUUCAGAUACGGAUUCGAUUUCCGUUAGCCGCUCCA
This 75-nucleotide transfer RNA is filed under the name Chloroflexota bacterium. Its description in RNAcentral is "tRNA-Gly". It matches the Rfam family "tRNA". Rfam says of the family: Transfer RNA (tRNA) molecules are approximately 80 nucleotides in length. The record is from RNAcentral. Lineage: Bacteria; Bacillati; Chloroflexota. RNAcentral also lists the same sequence under 3 other names.